AAAAGGUACGAUAGAUAUUUCAUUUUCAUUUAUGUCUUGGAUGUCCUUUAACUUGUGGAUGUAUCUGAAAUCUUCAUUAUAUAUUUAGUUUUUUUCAGUUGAUUUCCUAAGUAGUGUAAAGACUUGGUCUGAUCAUUUACUCUAUCAUGGUCUCUUGUUCUGUGUCUUGCCGCGGUAUAUUUCUUGAACCAAUGUAUUAAUUAAGACAGACAACUAUGCAAUCAGAGAAGAAAGAAACCACAGGAUCAAAGGAGAACAGACAAAUACAAAAUUUUCCAAGGGAGUGAUUAAAAUUUUAUACGAAAUGGAGCACAAGUACUAGAAGAAAGUAUUUCCUUGUUUGAUGGUAAGGCCAACCCUGUCCGGUACUUCUCAGUUGAUAACAACAUGAUUGUGGAACAUGAUCGGAUUUUUGUUAGUAGCUGCUUUUAUCUGUGCAAGGGCUUUUGGAAGGGGAGAGUUGUAUUGGUAAAGCUGCAGAAUAGUGAUAAUGAGGACACUAAAUUAGGGUUUUUACGCGAAAUUGCAGUUGUUGCACAGAUGGUUACUCAUUAUAAUGUGCACAAAAGAUUAGGAUGUUGCCGGGAGACCACAUCUCCUGUAAUUGUGUAUGAAUGGGUGGCCGUUUUUUUUUUUUUUUUUUUUUUUUUUUUUUUUUUUGCUGUUGUUGUAAUUUACAAUCAAUGGUUUAAACUGCAAAAUGGGUACUUUUACGGGUUAUAAUUGACAAAAUUUGGUCGUA
This is a long non-coding RNA of Chenopodium quinoa (quinoa), 742 nucleotides long. RefSeq lists it as uncharacterized. The transcript has 2 exons. Lineage: Eukaryota; Viridiplantae; Streptophyta; Magnoliopsida; Caryophyllales; Amaranthaceae. The record is from RefSeq and is a predicted model, not a curated record.